This is a long non-coding RNA of Vigna angularis (adzuki bean), 435 nucleotides long. RefSeq lists it as uncharacterized. Lineage: Eukaryota; Viridiplantae; Streptophyta; Magnoliopsida; Fabales; Fabaceae. The record is from RefSeq and is a predicted model, not a curated record. The transcript has 3 exons.
GGACGUUGGUGUCGUGAGCAAAGGUGAUUGGUGUUGUGGUUGGUGCUGCGGUUGGGGGAUUGUGGUUGAAGACUCUUAGUGGACGACGAUUCCUGCACAUUCUUUGGCUGCCGUGGUGUAGGGAGGCCGUUGUGGAGGUCAAUUCUUUUGGCAUGCAUUUAAGGUUUUUCGUGCAGGUUUGGUCCUCCGGUUGAGGGUUUUUUGUUGAAGGCUGGUGGAAGGGCAUUGGUGCAUUCUUUGCUGCUGCCUUGAUGUAGGGAAGUUCUUCUGGUGUAGGGAAGCUCUUGUGGAGGGAGGGUUCGAUAAUCCCUGUGUCGUGGAGAACAUGGCCCAUUUUCCCAAUCAUCGUGGAUGGAUGUACGACCGUUGUUAUAGUGGAAGGAGAGGUUUGAAGGAAUCUUUUGUCAUCGAAGUUGAAGAGUUUGUGGAGACGGC